GACGAACGCUGGCGGCGUGCUUAACACAUGCAAGUCGAACGGAAAGGCCCUGCUUGCCGGGUACUCGAGCGGCGAACGGGUGAGUAACACGUGGGUGAUCUGCCCUGCACUUCGGGAUAAGCCUGGGAAACUGGGUCUAAUACCGGAUAUGACCUUCCAUGUAGUGUGGGGGGUGGAAAGAUUUAUCGGUGUGGGAUGAGCCCGCGGCCUAUCAGCUUGUUGGUGGGGUAAUGGCCUACCAAGGCGUCGACGGGUAGCCGGCCUGAGAGGGUGGACGGCCACAUUGGGACUGAGAUACGGCCCAGACUCCUACGGGAGGCAGCAGUGGGGAAUAUUGCACAAUGGGCGGAAGCCUGAUGCAGCGACGCCGCGUGGGGGAUGACGGCCUUCGGGUUGUAAACCUCUUUCGACAGGGACGAAGCUUCGGUGACGGUACCUGUAUAAGAAGCACCGGCUAACUACGUG
This 465-nucleotide ribosomal RNA is filed under the name uncultured bacterium. RNAcentral describes it as "partial 16S ribosomal RNA". It matches the Rfam family "Bacterial small subunit ribosomal RNA", at positions 28 to 507 of the family's 1533-position model. The record is from RNAcentral.